CCUACGGGGGGCAGCAGUGGGGAAUAUUGGACAAUGGGGGGAACCCUGAUCCAGCCAUGCCGCGUGUGUGAAGAAGGCCCUCGGGUUGUAAAGCACUUUCAGUGAGGAAGAACGCCUGGUGGUUAAUACCCAUCAGGAAAGACAUCACUCACAGAGGAAGCACCGGCUAACUCCGUGCCAGCAGCCGCGGUAAUACGGAGGGUGCGAGCGUUAAUCGGAAUUACUGGGCGUAAAGCGCGCGUAGGUGGCUUGAUAAGCCGGUUGUGAAAGCCCCGGGCUCAACCUGGGAACGGCAUCCGGAACUGUCAAGCUAGAGUGCAGGAGAGGAAGGUAGAAUUCCCGGUGUAGCGGUGAAAUGCGUAGAGAUCGGGAGGAAUACCAGUGGCGAAGGCGGCCUUCUGGACUGACACUGACACUGAGGUGCGAAAGCGUGGGUAGCAAACAGGAUUAGAUACCCUAGUAGUC
This 465-nucleotide ribosomal RNA is filed under the name Vreelandella stevensii. Its description in RNAcentral is "partial 16S ribosomal RNA". It matches the Rfam family "Bacterial small subunit ribosomal RNA", at positions 338 to 795 of the family's 1533-position model. Lineage: Bacteria; Pseudomonadati; Pseudomonadota; Gammaproteobacteria; Oceanospirillales; Halomonadaceae. The record is from RNAcentral.